ACAAGGGGAAACCCUUGUUUCAAAGAAUCAAUCAAUUGAACUUGAAAUUGAAGGAAAAUCCAAUGCAUGAACUUCAAAUUACACUCUUCUGAACUCGAUUAUUGAAGUGGUGUAAAAGAAGAAAGCUCAAAUGCUAGGAAAUCGGAAGGUUCACAAGAUGGAGGUAAAUCCUCAACUUACAUGGCUUGGCGAUCUUGGAACGAACGCACACUUACUACGCCCACCUCGCGCUUCCGUUGCUAAUUACUUGAAUAGUUCAAGUUUUUGUUUUUAUGUACAAACGACUUGUUCAACCUUGAUGGUAUUAUGUUUUUGGUAAAUGUUAGUCUUAUUAGUAACCUUGUAACCAAAAAAGUUGGUCAUGUCGUCGUUUUGUCAAAUGGAUAUAAGUUAUAAUGUUUGACAUUAAGAAAUUGUCGAAAAAUUUUCUAGUUUUCC
Molecule: long non-coding RNA, 438 nt
Organism: Helianthus annuus (common sunflower)
Lineage: Eukaryota; Viridiplantae; Streptophyta; Magnoliopsida; Asterales; Asteraceae
Exons: 3
Source: RefSeq, a predicted model, not a curated record